CGCGCGAUACAGGGUGACAGCCCCGUACACAAAAAUGCACAUAUUGUGAGCUCGAUGAGUAGGGCGGGACACGUGGUAUCCUGUCUGAAUAUGGGGGGACCAUCCUCCAAGGCUAAAUACUCCUGACUGACCGAUAGUGAACCAGUACCGUGAGGGAAAGGCGAAAAGAACCCCGGCGAGGGGAGUGAAAAAGAACCUGAAACCGUGUACGUACAAGCAGUGGGAGCACGCUUAGGCGUGUGACUGCGUACCUUUUGUAUAAUGGGUCAGCGACUUAUAUUCUGUAGCAAGGUUAACCGAAUAGGGGAGCCGAAGGGAAACCGAGUCUUAACUGGGCGUUAAGUUGCAGGGUAUAGACCCGAAACCCGGUGAUCUAGCCAUGGGCAGGUUGAAGGUUGGGUAACACUAACUGGAGGACCGAACCGACUAAUGUUGAAAAAUUAGCGGAUGACUUGUGGCUGGGGGUGAAAGGCCAAUCAAACCGGGAGAUAGCUGGUUCUCCCCGAAAGCUAUUUAGGUAGCGCCUCGUGAAUUCAUCUCCGGGGGUAGAGCACUGUUUCGGCAAGGGGGUCAUCCCGACUUACCAACCCGAUGCAAACUGCGAAUACCGGAGAAUGUUAUCACGGGAGACACACGGCGGGUGCUAACGUCCGUCGUGAAGAGGGAAACAACCCAGACCGCCAGCUAAGGUCCCAAAGUCAUGGUUAAGUGGGAAACGAUGUGGGAAGGCCCAGACAGCCAGGAUGUUGGCUUAGAAGCAGCCAUCAUUUAAAGAAAGCGUAAUAGCUCACUGGUCGAGUCGGCCUGCGCGGAAGAUGUAACGGGGCUAAACCAUGCACCGAAGCUGCGGCAGCGACGCUUAUGCGUUGUUGGGUAGGGGAGCGUUCUGUAAGCCUGUGAAGGUGUGCUGUGAGGCAUGCUGGAGGUAUCAGAAGUGCGAAUGCUGACAUAAGUAACGAUAAAGCGGGUGAAAAGCCCGCUCGCCGGAAGACCAAGGGUUCCUGUCCAACGUUAAUCGGGGCAGGGUGAGUCGACCCCUAAGGCGAGGCCGAAAGGCGUAGUCGAUGGGAAACAGGUUAAUAUUCCUGUACUUGGUGUUACUGCGAAGGGGGGACGGAGAAGGCUAUGUUGGCCGGGCGACGGUUGUCCCGGUUUAAGCGUGUAGGCUGGUUUUCCAGGCAAAUCCGGAAAAUCAAGGCUGAGGCGUGAUGACGAGGCACUACGGUGCUGAAGCAACAAAUGCCCUGCUUCCAGGAAAAGCCUCUAAGCAUCAGGUAACAUCAAAUCGUACCCCAAACCGACACAGGUGGUCAGGUAGAGAAUACCAAGGCGCUUGAGAGAACUCGGGUGAAGGAACUAGGCAAAAUGGUGCCGUAACUUCGGGAGAAGGCACGCUGAUAUGUAGGUGAAGCGACUUGCUCGUGGAGCUGAAAUCAGUCGAAGAUACCAGCUGGCUGCAACUGUUUAUUAAAAACACAGCACUGUGCAAACACGAAAGUGGACGUAUACGGUGUGACGCCUGCCCGGUGCCGGAAGGUUAAUUGAUGGGGUCAGCGCAAGCGAAGCUCUUGAUCGAAGCCCCGGUAAACGGCGGCCGUAACUAUAACGGUCCUAAGGUAGCGAAAUUCCUUGUCGGGUAAGUUCCGACCUGCACGAAUGGCGUAAUGAUGGCCAGGCUGUCUCCACCCGAGACUCAGUGAAAUUGAACUCGCUGUGAAGAUGCAGUGUACCCGCGGCAAGACGGAAAGACCCCGUGAACCUUUACUAUAGCUUGACACUGAACAUUGAGCCUUGAUGUGUAGGAUAGGUGGGAGGCUUAGAAGUGUGGACGCCAGUCUGCAUGGAGCCGACCUUGAAAUACCACCCUUUAAUGUUUGAUGUUCUAACGUUGACCCGUAAUCCGGGUUGCGGACAGUGUCUGGUGGGUAGUUUGACUGGGGCGGUCUCCUCCUAAAGAGUAACGGAGGAGCACGAAGGUUGGCUAAUCCUGGUCGGACAUCAGGAGGUUAGUGCAAUGGCAUAAGCCAGCUUGACUGCGAGCGUGACGGCGCGAGCAGGUGCGAAAGCAGGUCAUAGUGAUCCGGUGGUUCUGAAUGGAAGGGCCAUCGCUCAACGGAUAAAAGGUACUCCGGGGAUAACAGGCUGAUACCGCCCAAGAGUUCAUAUCGACGGCGGUGUUUGGCACCUCGAUGUCGGCUCAUCACAUCCUGGGGCUGAAGUAGGUCCCAAGGGUAUGGCUGUUCGCCAUUUAAAGUGGUACGCGAGCUGGGUUUAGAACGUCGUGAGACAGUUCGGUCCCUAUCUGCCGUGGGCGCUGGAGAACUGAGGGGGGCUGCUCCUAGUACGAGAGGACCGGAGUGGACGCAUCACUGGUGUUCGGGUUGUCAUGCCAAUGGCACUGCCCGGUAGCUAAAUGCGGAAGAGAUAAGUGCUGAAAGCAUCUAAGCACGAAACUUGCCCCGAGAUGAGUUCUCCCUGACUCCUUGAGAGUCCUGAAGGAACGUUGAAGACGACGACGUUGAUAGGCCGGGUGUGUAAGCGCAGCGAUGCGUUGAGCUAACCGGUACUAAUGAACCGUGAGG
Molecule: ribosomal RNA, 2582 nt
Filed under: Escherichia coli
Lineage: Bacteria; Pseudomonadati; Pseudomonadota; Gammaproteobacteria; Enterobacterales; Enterobacteriaceae
Description: partial 23S ribosomal RNA
Rfam family: Bacterial large subunit ribosomal RNA
Source: RNAcentral